This 484-nucleotide ribosomal RNA is filed under the name uncultured bacterium. RNAcentral's name for it is "partial 16S ribosomal RNA". It matches the Rfam family "Bacterial small subunit ribosomal RNA", at positions 30 to 507 of the family's 1533-position model. The record is from RNAcentral.
AUUGAACGCUUUCUUCCGGCCUAACACAUGCAAGUCGAGCGGAUGAAGGGAGCUUGCUCCUGGAUUCAGCGGCGGACGGGUGAGUAAUGCCUAGGAAUCUGCCUGGUAGUGGGGGAUAACGUCCGGAAACGGGCGCUAAUACCGCAUACGUCCUGAGGGAGAAAGUGGGGGAUCUUCGGACCUCACGCUAUCAGAUGAGCCUAGGUCGGAUUAGCUAGUUGGUGGGGUAAAGGCCUACCAAGGCGACGAUCCGUAACUGGUCUGAGAGGAUGAUCAGUCACACUGGAACUGAGACACGGUCCAGACUCCUACGGGAGGCAGCAGUGGGGAAUAUUGGACAAUGGGCGAAAGCCUGAUCCAGCCAUGCCGCGUGUGUGAAGAAGGUCUUCGGAUUGUAAAGCACUUUAAGUUGGGAGGAAGGGCAGUAAGUUAAUACCUUGCUGUUUUGACGUUACCAACAGAAUAAGCACCGGCUAACUUCGUG